AAAGCAGAAUGCCAAAACACAGUUCCGGUUGGUAGUCCGGACGCAUGCGGAUACAAAGUAUCCCUUGUCAGUAACCUUCCCCCCUUGGGAUGUCCCGCAUUCUGAUUGGAGCA
RNAcentral lists this non-coding RNA (113 nucleotides) under Paenibacillus ferrarius. RNAcentral describes it as "Azaaromatic sequence". It matches the Rfam family "azaaromatic riboswitch aptamer (yjdF RNA)". Lineage: Bacteria; Bacillati; Bacillota; Bacilli; Caryophanales; Paenibacillaceae. The record is from Rfam by way of RNAcentral.